UUUUCUUCGAGAGAUCUUCUUUGUACUCCGCCUUUUCGACAUUAAUAAAUUAUUUGCUCCGUCUUCGCCCGUGGACGUAGGCCGUUGGCCGAACUACGUAAAUAUCGGUGUAUUCUUUCCGCUUAUCUUUUCGUUUCCUGCAUUAAAUUAUUUUCUGGAUCUAUUUUUCACAGUUCCGAUUUUAACAAAGCGUAUAGAUAUAGCACCCACGGAUCUCGAUUAUGACUCGACCCAACCAGCCUCACAUCACUUCGAACAUGACUCGGUCCAUCCAGACUCACGCCAUUUCGAAUAUGACUUGACUCAAUAUGACCUCCCGCCACAAGGCAAGAUGCUGAUCUAUUUAAAUCAAUAAUCUCCGCUUCAGCACCUGGACGCAUUUGCAGUAUGCAGGAAUCGAACCCGUGAUCUUUGUCUCUAAUAUCACUUGUCGGAUCGUUGGUGCUAACCAUUAAUCCCCAAAACUCGAGCUGUUAGAAAUAUACAACGAAUUCACAUAAAGGAUACAGAUAUAGCGCACAUGAAUCUCGAUUGUGACUCGGCUCAACCAGGCUCACGCCAUUUCGAGCAUGACUCGGCCCACCCAGUCUCACGCCACCUCGAAUAUGACUCGGCCCACCCAGUCUCACACCAUUUCGAACAUGACUCGGCCCAACAUGACCUCUCGCCACAGGGCAGUAUACUGGCCCAUUUAAGCCAACAUUGAUUUGCUAUCAAAUUUUCGAGUCAAUUUCAAAAUUCUUUAAUUCACCUGUACGAAUAUGUCCAAUUUUUUACUGCCGCAAAAUUAGAAAAUUUUUUAAUUAUUUUUGUUAACACAACAUAAUAUUUCAACAAACAUUUUGAUCGUGGAACAUAGUAAUUUAUUUGGUAUUUGAGUGUUUGUUAUAUAUAUAUAUAUAUAUAUAUAUAUAUAUAGAGAGAGAGAGAGAGAGAGUUAGUCUCCUAUACUAUUUAUAGUACCGGGACUCCGGUUCUAUAGUCUCAUUUUCAAUUUUAGGGUGUUCAAAUCCACGAUCCACACGUUAAAAGUGAUUUAGGGUAUUUAAAAUUUUUAGAAAUAAAAUUUUAUAUUUUUUCGACAUAGUUUACUUUGUAAUCAAAUUAUUUUAAAAUUGUCAAUUUUCAAUGAUUACUAUGGCGAGUUUGGAGUUUAACGGUGUAGAAGAAUUUAAAUUUCUUUAAAUUUUGAUAGAAAAUAUUUUAAACUAUCUAGAUUAAGAUUAACAUUCUUGAUCUUGAAUUUAAAAGUCCUAUACUCAAAUUUUAAAGAUUAUACAAUUUCAACCGUCCAUCUUAACAUAAAUUAUUUACUAAGUAAACGAUGUCGAAAAAAUUUAAAAUUUUAUUUCUAAGAACUUUAUAUACUCUAUAUCAUAUUUUACGGUAUGGAUCGUUAAUUUGAAUACCCUAAGAUCAAAAACAAGACAAAAGUACCGGAGCUCCGGUACUAUGAUAGUAUAGUAGCUCCGGUACUAUAGAUAGUAUAGUAGCCUAACUUUAUAUAUAUAUAUAUAUAUAUAGAGAGAGAGAGAGAGAGAGAGAGAGAGAGAGAGAGAGAGGCUGGUAUGCGUCUGACAGUACGAAGUCCUCUGUGUUUUCAAGUGGAUGUUGGGACUUUCAAAUUAACGAUCGGCUCCGUUAGACCAGAUCUAGAGUAUUUGAAUUACCUAAAAAAUAAAUUUCAUGAUUUUUCGAUAUCAUUUGCCUAGUGAUCGAAGGGGCUCAAAUUAAUAAUUUUAAUGGCCAUGAUGAGCCGUUUACAAGUUUAACGGUGGAAAAAUAUUCAAAUCACGUGAAAUUUUGAUGAAAAUUUUUUUAUACUAUAUAUAACAAGGUCAAUAUUUUUGAUCUAAAAUUUUAAUAUCAUAUCAUCACAUUUUAUAAGAUUUUUAUUUNCAUUAAAUUUGACAAUCGGCUCUGUUAAGUAUAAUUUAUGCUAUUAGAACUAUUUAGAAAUUAAAUUUUAUAAUUUUUAAUAUUAUUUACUAAGUGAUUAAAGGGUCGCAAAAAUAACUAUUUUAAUGACAAAUGUUGCACUUUUGUAAGUUCAAUGGUACAGAACAAUCUAAAUUAAGAGAAAUUUUUUGUAGAAAUCCAAUUUAUAAUCACGAGUAAGAUCAAUAUUUCUAAUUUGAAAUUUAAAUCUUAUUUCACUAUUUUUAAAAUAAAUUUAUUUUCAGCCGUUUAUUUUUUUAGGCUAUUUUUUACUAAGCAAAUAAAGUCAAAAAAUUAAAAAAUUUGAUUUUUAGAUAAUUCUAAUGCGGUAGAUCUUGUCUAAUAGAACCGGCCGUUGAAUUUGAUAUCCUAUCAUCAAGAAUAAUUUAUAAAUACGGAAGCCUCUAUGCUUUCCAAAGCAUAAAAGUUUAGCUAUAAAUGUCUAACUAUAAAGUCCUUGUGUACUCAUAAGUUGUUUUUAAUAAUGGAGCUUUCGAAUCGACGAUUCAUACCGUUAAAUAUAAUUUAGAGUAUUUAAAACUUUUAAAAAAUAAAUUUCGUAAAUUUUUAAAAUUAUUAUAAAAUCUAUUCGGCACAAAUGAACGAUUAAAAUCGAACGACUUCCUAAAAAUAGAUGAUCGGAUACUUUAAUUUAACAUCGGAGUUAUUAAUCUUUAUUUAGAUAGCUUUUGUCAAAAACUUAACGAAUUUCGACUUUUUUACACCGUUAAACUAGCAAGUAUCUCAUAUCAGCAAUUAAAAAUUAUCAAUUUUAAAAGUUUUUUUAUUAGUAAAUGACAUCAAAAAAUUAUAAAAUUUAAUUUCUAAAAUUUUAAAUGCUCUAAAUUAUAUUUAACGGUUUGAAUCGUCGAAUCGGAAGAUCUAUUAUCAAAAAUAAUUUAUGAAUACGAAGACGAUUAUACUCAUAAGAGUAUAGUACUAUGGCUAUAUAUACAUAUAUCUUAAACAGAAAUGCUAUUAGUAGCAAAUGGGUUU
RNAcentral lists this long non-coding RNA (2934 nucleotides) under Ananas comosus (pineapple). RNAcentral describes it as "long non-coding RNA (ACOM_LNC003985)". Lineage: Eukaryota; Viridiplantae; Streptophyta; Magnoliopsida; Poales; Bromeliaceae. The record is from RNAcentral.